CUUAGUCUGAUUUUUCGCGUUCUAUCAUAAGCCCUAAAUAGACCAUUUUCAAGAGCAAGAGGAGGUUUAGACUUGCUUGGUAAUAAUUGGAAGGUGGAUUUCAAGGAGACUUAAGAUUGAAAACCAUAUCCACUUGAAGAUUUUCUUGCACCCUUCUUCCUCUCCAUGCUCUAUAGCCAUGGUAGGCUAAGUCCUUGAUACUU
Molecule: long non-coding RNA, 203 nt
Filed under: Linum usitatissimum (flax)
Lineage: Eukaryota; Viridiplantae; Streptophyta; Magnoliopsida; Malpighiales; Linaceae
Description: long non-coding RNA (LUSI_LNC004538)
Source: RNAcentral